CCAGACUGCCCCAGGCCGCUGGCAGGACCGCCCUGGCUUCUUCAAAUGCCCAGAAAUAUUGGGUUGAACCUUUCAGCAGUCUGCAGGUUAAACAGUGAAGCAUAUUUUUCACCCUCUGGCCAUUUCAUGGCUUAGCAAAGAUGAAGUCCUGUGCAAAACUGGCCAGUGGCAGCUUCUCUCUCCCAUUCCCUCUGCUUGGAGCACAUACUUGGCACCAUAUCAUGAGGUCUUCAACUUGGAAACUUGAUUUUUCACUCGAACCCUGCAGUGUCUCUCCUGUCUGGCAGCCUGAUAGAGAUUUAAGGAAAUGUGGUGCAUACCCUUGCAGUAAUAAAACCAUUGCAAGAAUGGGAAGAUUCCAGGAAUAGCAAAUGUGGUAUUACUCAAUAAACAUUAAGUAACAAACA
Molecule: long non-coding RNA, 407 nt
Filed under: Zonotrichia albicollis (white-throated sparrow)
Lineage: Eukaryota; Metazoa; Chordata; Aves; Passeriformes; Passerellidae
Description: lncRNA (ENSZALG00000008346.1)
Source: RNAcentral